This 308-nucleotide ribosomal RNA is filed under the name Triticum aestivum (bread wheat). RNAcentral's name for it is "partial small subunit ribosomal RNA". The record is from RNAcentral. Lineage: Eukaryota; Viridiplantae; Streptophyta; Magnoliopsida; Poales; Poaceae.
UCCUCCUCCUCUUUGGAUCUAUGAUACUGGGUCUAGUAUUUGUGUGACGGGAGACCCGAGCCUCCUUUGGGGUGUACACAACGCCGAGGGCAUUUCCUCGGCUGGAGUCAGUGGAGUGGAAUUAGUGUCCAACAAGUGCGGGCGCAUAAGAUCUGGUAGAGUGAAGCUCUCUGGGAUCCGGUACUUUCCUGGAGCGAAAGUGAAUUUGAUUAGCGGCGGCAUCCUUGGGUCCCUAGGCUGCGAAAUCAUAAUGAACGCAAAGGGGUGCAAGAUCAUGAAGGACGGGCAGGUGAUCGGGGGUGGCCGCA